RNAcentral lists this ribosomal RNA (460 nucleotides) under uncultured bacterium. RNAcentral's name for it is "partial 16S ribosomal RNA". It matches the Rfam family "Bacterial small subunit ribosomal RNA", at positions 338 to 795 of the family's 1533-position model. The record is from RNAcentral.
CCUACGGGUGACAGCAGUGAGGAAUCUUGGUCAAUGGCCGAGAGUCUGAACCAGCCAAGUAGCGUGAAGGAUGACUGCCCUCUGGGUUGUAAACUUCUUUUAUAAAGGAAUAAAACGCGGCACGUAUGCCUUUUUGCAUGUACUUUAUGAAUCCAGAUAGGCUAACUCCGUGCCAGCCGCCGCGGUAAUACGGAGGAUCCGAGCGUUAUCCGGAUUUAUUUGGUUUAAAGGGAGCGUAGAUGGGUUGUUAAGUCAGUUGUGAAAGUGUGCGGCUCAACCGUAAAAUUGCAAUUGAUACUGGCAGUCUUGAGUACAGUUGAGGUAGGAGGAAUUCGUGGUGUAGCGGUGAAAUGCUUAGAUAUCACGAAGAACACCGAUUGCGAAGGCAGCUUACUAAACUGUGACUGACAUUGAUGCUCGAAAGUGUGGGUAUCAAACAGGAUUAGAUACCCCAGUAGUC